CUUCGUCUUCUAUCAAUUAAGUCUAAGAUUGAUUUAUAAGAGCAGGAGGCUAAGGGACAUUCACACCAAGAGCUAACUUAUACUCCGGCUAUUAUAUUGAUAGAGCAAUCAGAAACGAUAAUGGGUUAGGUUGCGAUGUGACAGUGACGACCAUCAGAAUUAUUUGCAUGUGCAAUUCGUGAUUUUGAAUUGAAUCGAAGAGAAGACUCCUAAUUUCUCAAACACGUGGCUUUUGCAAGUACAAACCAACAGUUCCUAACAGUGCUAUUGAGCGGACCAAAACAAAAAAUUCUAGAAGGCAAUCUAAACGGUGAAAUCGAAAGCUGCAAUCAUAAUAGCAAAGAAAACGACGAAACAAAAGUAGAAAGCGGCAUUAGUUCUUUUCUUUUUUUUCCAUUGUACAUUGACAAAGAAAGCAGAAAGGGAGGAGGAGAUCGUACUGUGGAAAAGAAUUAACUUGAUCGAUUGAGAAAUUUUUUUAUCGAAAGUAAACUUGAUCUA
Non-coding RNA from Jatropha curcas, 501 nucleotides. The record is from RefSeq and is a predicted model, not a curated record. Lineage: Eukaryota; Viridiplantae; Streptophyta; Magnoliopsida; Malpighiales; Euphorbiaceae.